UCUCCCUCAGCUCUGGCAAUCACACAGGUUCAGUGUGUGCUUGGUGGAUUUUCAAGCAAGACAGGAGAGAGUGUGGCACUCCUAAUGCAUAGCUGACCUGCCCCAAAGCGGUGCUCUGUUCCUAAGGAGUGCAUGCAUC
Mesocricetus auratus (golden hamster) is the source of this 139-nucleotide small nucleolar RNA. Lineage: Eukaryota; Metazoa; Chordata; Mammalia; Rodentia; Cricetidae. The record is from Ensembl.